UUAGUUCAGAUUUGUAUGGAGUUCGAGCGUUUGCCGCUAGGGGCGCUGUUCCAACUGCAUACAAAUUCGAGUUA
Molecule: microRNA precursor, 74 nt
Filed under: Bombyx mori (domestic silkworm)
Lineage: Eukaryota; Metazoa; Arthropoda; Insecta; Lepidoptera; Bombycidae
Description: mir-2807 microRNA precursor family
Rfam family: mir-2807 microRNA precursor family
Source: Rfam by way of RNAcentral